This 2475-nucleotide long non-coding RNA is filed under the name Triticum aestivum (bread wheat). Its description in RNAcentral is "long non-coding RNA (TAES_LNC009322)". The record is from RNAcentral. Lineage: Eukaryota; Viridiplantae; Streptophyta; Magnoliopsida; Poales; Poaceae.
GUCCGUUUAAGUGGAUACGGCUCCAGCGGAUCCGCUUCCACCGCGCAGAAGGGUACUCCGCGAAGGCGCCUUCGACGUCGCCCUAUCGCCCGCGUGGCUGAGUUGCUGGGCCGGCCCAGUGGCGCCCUGCCGUUAAGCCUCGCCCCGUACAUGCUGUUGCUGCCCAAAUCCAGCCCGUUUGGGUAAAAUCCUUUCUCUUUUCUUUUCUGUACAAUUUGUAAAAUCCAUAGAUAAUUCAAAUUAACUCCAAAUUUGAUGAUUCAAAUUUCUAGUAGCUCAUAAACUCAUGAUCUAUCUCAUGGAACAACUUUCACAUUUUUCCAGGAACUUUAUCUUCACACACAUUUAUCAAAACCCCAUUUCCAUUUCUGUGAUGAACUUUAGAAAAUCACAGAGAGCUUAAAUUUGAUCCAAAUUCCAUGAUUCAAGUUUUUAGAUACAUCUAAUUUCAUAACUUAGGUUAUGAACAUUUUUCUUAAUACUUUUGGUACCCCACAAAAUAAUGAGCCAUUUCUCCAUGUUUGUCAACUUUGCAAAUCCGUAGAAUAUUCAUUUGAACUCCAAAUCCAGUGAAACCAAAUCAUAGAUAAUUCUAAAAUCAUCCUUUGUUAAAUGGGUGCCUUUUCUCAUUUUUCAAAAAUAUAUUUCUCUACACUUCUUUCAAAUCCAUAAACCCAUUGAUUCCAUCAUAUCAAAAUGUUUAGAAAUAUCCACUGACCCAAUUCCAAUGAAACCACUCUGGUUAUUUUUCAUAUAACCAGAGAUGUCCUAGGAAAGUCAAAUUAAUAUUUUUAGAGCACUUUUAUUUCCUGCCUUGUUGUGUUGCUUAUUAUGGUUGCUUUCAACGAUAGUUGGCGAAGUAGACGAAAUGCUUGGAGUUGGACCAGAGAUAUUUGAAGACCUCGAAGACUUUGUUAAAACAGGCAAGCAGCCCUUUGACCAUGAUGAACCAUUUUACAUCAUAAUAGCAUUUUCGUUGCUUCACUGAGUGCAUGAUAUACCUUGAGUGGCAACCUUGCUAGGCUUGCCUACGUUGCAUACUCCAUUGAUACUUGCAUUGUUCAUGACUCUACCCUUGCUUAGAGUUGUGUUGGUGGGUUGUAGAAAUAUGCUAUAGUAGAUGGCUACGCAAAGUUGGUCAGGGUUAUGCAUGGAAAGAAACAAGUGUGGUUUGACAUACUUGCAAACAGCCCUAGUGGGUGCCACUGAUGCCCCUGGGAGAUGAUGAUGAACUAGGUCACUACUUGGUGGAGAAGUAGUGUACCGAGGCUUGAUAAAAGUGUUGUUUACAGAGACGGAUUAGAUUUAAGAUUUGUCGACUGUCCCAACCUUACAUGCGCAACCACUCUACCCUUAUAUGGGAAAGGGCAUUAUUGAUUACCUAGGCCGAUACUAGCUUGGAGCCCGCAUUACUAGUGACGGGAGAGUCGUUGUUGCGCUCUCUCGCGACGGGGUCGUGCCAGGUAGGGCAGCCAUGACUGUUUUCACAGGGCACCGGACACACCGUUGGUACCCCAUGCUUGUGGUAUGUGAUGAAUAUGGGAGCGAGGCUCCACAAUUUUAAGAUGUGAAAUGUUGGGCAAGGGGGUUACUACCAAUCGAGUGUACUCUAUGUUAGUGUCGUCUAGGGAAAGAUAGUGAUCGGGUGCUUACCCCGGGUACUUGAGGUACCGCGGGUCGUGGAUGACACGGAAGUUCCCCGGAUCUUGUGGGUAAAGUGUGCAACCUCUGCAGAGUGUAAAACUAUUCGAAUAGCCGUGUCCACGGUCAAGGACAGUUGGGUGGUGCUGCUUAGACUAUGUCCAUAUGUUUCUGGAAAACAACACGGUUUGGUAAAUCUAUUGACGUGAUUCAUGAGGAAGUCACGAUGAGCUUGAGCAUGAGUUGUUCAUAACUCUCUCUCGAUGUUGAUGUCUGUAACCCCCUGAUACUUGUUGCAGACGCAUUCAUAUCCUUGAUAAAUGGUGAUCAUACUUGCAUGAGAAAAACUAGCUUUCCGCAAAAAUGCCAAUUUAGCAGUAAUGCCUUGCAUAAUUAUUCUGUUAUCACCCUUGGUUUGCUUGCGAGUACAUUCAAAGUACUCAUUGGCUUUCCACUGGUUAUUUUAUUGGCCAGGCAUGAAAGAACAGGAUAUGAUGAAGAAUACUUCGUGACGAACAUGCGAGCUAGGACGCUUCCCAGUCAGAAUGCCUGAAGAUUUCCGCUGCGAUGUUAUACUCAAGACUUGACCAUAAUGGUCCUACUUGUGUAAUAUGGUAUGUAUGGAUGUAAGACUCUUGUUAUUCAGCUUCUGUGUGUUCAGUGAGCCUUGAUCUCUGGGAUCACUGUACACGUGCAUUCGGUGAUCACGACUUAUGAGUCGGGGUCCCCACACUGGAAGAUUUUGAACACAAGGAUCGUGUCCGGCCCUGCAAAAAAAAUUCCAUAUACCACCGUAGAGAGUAUAAUAUUCCACAAAUCUAAUCUGCUGACAAG